UACGGGGGGAGCAAGCGUUGUUCGGAUUUACUGGGCGUAAAGGGCGCGUAGGCGGUCGUGACAAGUCACUUGUGAAAUCUCCGGGCUUAACUCGGAACGGUCAAGUGAUACUGUCGGACUAGAGUACAGAAGGGGCAACUGGAAUUCUCGGUGUAGCGGUGAAAUGCGUAGAUAUCGAGAGGAACACCUGCGGCGAAGGCGGGUUGCUGGGCUGAUACUAGCUGAGGCGCGAAAGCUAGGGGGAGCGAACGGG
Molecule: ribosomal RNA, 253 nt
Filed under: uncultured bacterium
Lineage: Bacteria
Description: partial 16S ribosomal RNA
Rfam family: Bacterial small subunit ribosomal RNA
Source: RNAcentral